RNAcentral lists this ribosomal RNA (114 nucleotides) under Castor canadensis (American beaver). Lineage: Eukaryota; Metazoa; Chordata; Mammalia; Rodentia; Castoridae. The record is from RNAcentral.
GGCCGCACACCACCCUGAACGCGCCCGAUCUCGUCUGCUCUCGGAAGCUAAGCAGGGUCGGGCCUGGUCAGUACUUGGAUGGGAGACAUUUCAUAUGACAGGGAUCUACAGCCU